Molecule: ribosomal RNA, 291 nt
Filed under: Triticum aestivum (bread wheat)
Lineage: Eukaryota; Viridiplantae; Streptophyta; Magnoliopsida; Poales; Poaceae
Description: partial small subunit ribosomal RNA
Source: RNAcentral
AUGUUCUCUAAGUCAUUUUUUGACCACAUCCAAGACCUCACUCAAGUGUUGCAACUAUUGCGAGCUAACCAAUGGAAAACUAUAAUGUCCAAAUGUUCAUUUGCACAGUGGGAAUUAUCCUACUUGGGCUUUGUCAUCAGCGAGCAAGGGAUUUCAACUAAACCAAAAAAGAUUUUGCGCGUCCAACAAUGGCCACUGCCACACUUAGUUAAGAAACUUUGGCAGUUCUUAGGUCUUUCUGCAUACUAUCGCAAAUUGUUCGACAUUAUGGCAUCAUUGCUAAACCAUUGA